AGUUUGAUCCUGGCUCAGAACGAACGCUGGCGGCAGGCCUAACACAUGCAAGUCGAACGCAUCCUUCGGGGUGAGUGGCAGACGGGUGAGUAACACGUGGGAACGUGCCCAUCGGUUCGGAAUAACCCAGGGAAACUUGGGCUAAGACCGGAUACGACCGAGAGGUGAAAGAUUUAUCGCCGAUGGAUCGGCCCGCGUCUGAUUAGCUAGUUGGUGAGGUAAUGGCUCACCAAGGCGACGAUCAGUAGCUGGUCUGAGAGGAUGAUCAGCCACACUGGGACUGAGACACGGCCCAGACUCCUACGGGAGGCAGCAGUGGGGAAUAUUGGACAAUGGGCGCAAGCCUGAUCCAGCCAUGCCGCGUGAGUGAUGAAGGCCCUAGGGUUGUAAAGCUCUUUCGCACGCGACGAUAAUGACGGUAGCGUGAGAAGAAGCCCCGGCUAACUUCGUGCCAGCAGCCGCGGUAAUACGAAGGGGGCUAGCGUUGUUCGGAAUCACUGGGCGUAAAGGGCGCGUAGGCGGCCGUUCAAGUCGGGGGUGAAAGCCUGUGGCUCAACCACAGAAUUGCCUUCGAUACUGUACGGCUCGAGACCGGAAGAGGUAAGUGGAACUGCGAGUGUAGAGGUGAAAUUCGUAGAUAUUCGCAAGAACACCAGUGGCGAAGGCGGCUUACUGGUCCGGUUCUGACGCUGAGGCGCGAAAGCGUGGGGAGCAAACAGGAUUAGAUACCCCCGUAGUCC
Molecule: ribosomal RNA, 740 nt
Filed under: uncultured bacterium
Lineage: Bacteria
Description: bacterial SSU rRNA
Rfam family: Bacterial small subunit ribosomal RNA
Source: RNAcentral